GGAUUUUUGCGUUGUCUCGGGUUAAGAGUAGAAAGUAGUACCCUUUAUGGAUAUUGUUGAGAACAGAGUAAUUUAAUAUAUACUCUCAUUUGAUCUUUUCUCUUUUUUUGGCAAAGAAGGUGAAGAGGAUUCAUGUGGUUGAAAUCUUUGUUCCUCCUUUGUUCAUUAUGAUUUUAAUGUGUCUUUCCAAGUUCACAUCUAUGGCAUUUGUUGUCAUAUUAAUUCUGUCCUUGAAAAAUCGAAUCAAUGGUAGACACGAGUGAAAGUGAUGUUACUCCAAUUACAAUAGAUCAUUACAAUAGUUAUGAAAAAUUUUGUGUCCCUAGGCAUUACACAUUUGUGAUAUGUUUAUUAUCCAUCAGAUUCCUGUUAAUGUUGAGAAAUUGUGAUAUUUUGUUGUGGCUCAAAAGAGGAAAUCCAUUGUUUUCUUUUAUUAUCCAUUGAUUUUUUUUUUUCUUAAGAUUUAAAACAUUUGAUUAUGUGCUUGUGUUCAAGCUCAAGUGCUUGAUAUUGAGCACGAACUUGACUUGACUAAUGAAGCAAGCUGACCUCAACUUCAAGCUUUUAGAAUCUUUGACAAGCUCAAGUUCAAAAAGUGUUUGUAGGCUUGGAUCAAGUUCAAGUGGAGUUUGAACAUGCUAUCUUUAUUAUCAAACCGAGCUCAACCAUUCUAUAAUUGGCUUGAGUUGAUUACAGCCCUCCUAGUUGAAGUCCUAUGUAUGUUUCUCUUUUUUUCCAAUGUUUUCUCAAGUACCUUUUUUUUUUUCUUUUUUUUUUUUUUUGAUAGGUAAUAGAUAUUUUCAUUAAAAAAAGUACAUUAUUUUCAUGAUAAUGAACAGAUUAUUCUAGGAACAAAUACAAACAAAUCAAAUAGAAACAAAAUGCACAAUCAAGACGUUUUAAAUUUAAAGUUGUGUGCUUUGUGCUUGAAGAUUUGCAUCUUGGAUUAUUAUUUGUUUGGCAUUGUAUUAGGAUGUCCUGCAAUUAAAAAGUAAAAUUGUUUAACUUGGAAUUCUUUAUUUGUUUAUUGUUGAAAGGAAUUAUCGAUGUUGAACUUUUGUAUUGGGUUUGUA
Quercus robur (English oak) is the source of this 1073-nucleotide long non-coding RNA. RefSeq lists it as uncharacterized. Lineage: Eukaryota; Viridiplantae; Streptophyta; Magnoliopsida; Fagales; Fagaceae. The record is from RefSeq and is a predicted model, not a curated record. The transcript is spliced from 2 exons.